RNAcentral lists this ribosomal RNA (486 nucleotides) under uncultured bacterium. RNAcentral's name for it is "partial 16S ribosomal RNA". It matches the Rfam family "Bacterial small subunit ribosomal RNA", at positions 30 to 507 of the family's 1533-position model. The record is from RNAcentral.
AUUGAACGCUGGCGGCAUGCCUUACACAUGCAAGUCGAACGGCAGCACGGGUGCUUGCACCUGGUGGCGAGUGGCGAACGGGUGAGUAAUACAUCGGAACAUGUCCUGUAGUGGGGGAUAGCCCGGCGAAAGCCGGAUUAAUACCGCAUACGAUCUACGGAUGAAAGCGGGGGACCUUCGGGCCUCGCGCUAUAGGGUUGGCCGAUGGCUGAUUAGCUAGUUGGUGGGGUAAAGGCCUACCAAGGCGACGAUCAGUAGCUGGUCUGAGAGGACGACCAGCCACACUGGGACUGAGACACGGCCCAGACUCCUACGGGAGGCAGCAGUGGGGAAUUUUGGACAAUGGGCGAAAGCCUGAUCCAGCAAUGCCGCGUGCGUGAAGAAGGCCUCCGGGUUGUAAAGCACUUUUGUCCGGAAAGAAAUCCUUGGCCCUAAUACGGUCGGGGGAUGACGGUACCGGAAGAAUAAGCACCGGCUAACUACGUG